UCGCCUGUUUUAUCAAAAACAUCGCCUCUAGUUACACAUGAGAGGUCCAGCCUGCCCAGUGAUUUAAUUCAACGGCCGCGGUAUCCUAACCGUGCGAAGGUAGCGUAAUCACUUGUUCUUUAAAUGAGGACUAGUAUGAAUGGCACCACGAGGGUUAUACUGUCUCCUUUUUCUAAUCAAUGAAACUGAUCUCUCCGUGAAGAAGCGGGGAUAAAUAUAUAAGACGAGAAGACCCUAUGGAGCUUUAAACAAUUAUAGCACUAGCCCUCAUUUCUACUCUUCAGAGACAUAAUUAAUAUACCGGCUAACAUGACUAUUAGUUUUAGGUUGGGGUGACCGCGGAGCAAAAAUUAACCUCCACAUUGGAAGGAGCUACUCCUGAGCUAAGAGCUACAACCCUAAGCACCAACAAACUGACAUUAAUUGACCCAACAUGUUGAACAACGAACCAAGUUACCCUAGGGAUAACAGCGCAAUCCAUUUCAAGAGCCCCUAUCGACAAAUGGGUUUACGACCUCGAUGUUGGAUCAGGGUACCCCAGUGGUGCAGCCGCUACUAAAGGUUCGUUUGUUCAACGAUUAAAACCCUACGUGAUCUGA
RNAcentral lists this ribosomal RNA (599 nucleotides) under Dendropsophus bipunctatus (two-spotted treefrog). RNAcentral's name for it is "partial 16S ribosomal RNA". It matches the Rfam family "Bacterial large subunit ribosomal RNA", at positions 1796 to 2608 of the family's 2925-position model. The record is from RNAcentral. Lineage: Eukaryota; Metazoa; Chordata; Amphibia; Anura; Hylidae.